Molecule: ribosomal RNA, 483 nt
Filed under: uncultured bacterium
Lineage: Bacteria
Description: partial 16S ribosomal RNA
Rfam family: Bacterial small subunit ribosomal RNA
Source: RNAcentral
GACGAACGCUGGCGGCGUGCUUAACACAUGCAAGUCGAACGAUGAAGCUGGAGCUUGCUCCGGUGGAUUAGUGGCGAACGGGUGAGUAACACGUGAGCAAUCUGCCCUUGACUCUGGGAUAACUGCGGGAAACUGUAGCUAAUACCGGAUACGAGGCUCGAAGGCAUCUUCGGGUCUGGAAAGAAUUUCGGUCAAGGAUGAGCUCGCGGGCUAUCAGCUUGUUGGUGAGGUAAUGGCUCACCAAGGCGACGACGGGUAGCCGGCCUGAGAGGGUGACCGGCCACACUGGGACUGAGACACGGCCCAGACUCCUACGGGAGGCAGCAGUGGAGAAUAUUGCACAAUGGGCGAAAGCAUGAUGCAGCAACGCCGCGUGAGGGAUGAAGGCCUUCGGGUUGUAAACCUCUUUUAGCAGGGAAGAAGCGAAAGUGACGGUACCUGCAGAAAAAGCACCGGCUAACUACGUGCCAGCCGCCGCCGUAA